GAUGAAGAACGUAGCGAAAUGCGAUAAGUAAUGUGAAUUGCAGAAUUCAGUGAAUCAUCGAAUCUUUGAACGCACAUUGCGCCCCUUGGUAUUCCGAGGGGCAUGCCUGUUCGAGCGUCAUUAUAACCCCUCAAGCUCAGCUUGGUGUUGGGGCCUGCUGCACUGGCAGCCCUUAAAAUCAGUGGCGGCGCCAUCUGGCUCUAAGCGUAGUAAUUCUUCUCGCUAUGGAGUCCUGGUGGAUGCUUGCCAUCAACCCCCAAUUUUUCUAUGGUUGACCUCGGAUCAGAUAGGGAUACCCGCUGAACUUAAGCAUAUCAAUAAGCGGAGGA
This 329-nucleotide unclassified non-coding RNA is filed under the name soil metagenome. RNAcentral's name for it is "partial contains 5.8S ribosomal RNA, internal transcribed spacer 2, and large subunit ribosomal RNA". The stretch from base 1 to 120 matches the Rfam family "5.8S ribosomal RNA", at positions 35 to 154 of the family's 154-position model. The record is from RNAcentral.